UGUGUUUCCUCUGGUACCAUGUGGUUCUGAAAGUGGAGAUAUGGUCACUCUUGGCUGCCUUGCCACUGGCUUUAACCCUCCUGCAGUGACUUUCUCAUGGAGCAACGGCAGCACUGCCUUGACAGACUUCAUCCAGUACCCUGCAGUUCAAAAUGGCAAUGUUUAUACUGGAGUCAGUCAAGUCCGAGUGAGGAGACAGGAGUGGGAUGGACGACAGAAUUUUCAAUGUGCUGUAAACCACGCUGCUGGGAAUGGACAGGCUGGUAUCACAAAACCACAGGCGUCCACGCCGAAUCCACCUGUGAGCACUACUGACCAAUACGACAAAGGAAAGCCAACAGUAGCAGUCUACACCCCCCCACAGCUGCACAUUAACCAGCUUCGGUCUGAAGAUAAAAUCACUCUGGUGUGUCUGGUCACCAGUACUGUGGAUGAGACGUAUAAAAUCGAAUGGUCAGAAAUGUUUGGAAAGACACAAGGAGCUUAUGUUACAGCCACCGACAUCCCUCCACAGCAGAGCAAAAAUGACCAGAAAUGGCUAAGUAUGAGUCUUUACACCACCAGUAAGGCAGACUGGGACGAAAAAAAACCAACCAAAGAGUUCAUCUGCCGUGUCGGAGUCGGAACUGGACAUAUUAAUAAAACAGUGUCCAGUGUCAUUGAUGAUUUUUGUGAUCUGAGUUGGGACGAUAUCACCGCUGAAGACGAUUUUGGCAGCCUGUGGUCCACAGCUUCCUCCUUCAUAUUGCUUUUCAUAUUCUCUCUCUUUUAUAGCAUUAUUAUCAGCCUUCUUAAG
Non-coding RNA from Pundamilia nyererei, 796 nucleotides. The record is from the annotation of a RefSeq genome assembly. NCBI's taxonomy places the organism in Eukaryota, Metazoa, Chordata, Actinopteri, Cichliformes, Cichlidae.